AGGCAUCAGAAUGGAGUUUCAGAGAAGGACGAGCCGGGCACCCGACAGCAAGGGGCAGCCCGUCUCCCCAACAAAGUCCCAGGGAAAAGUGGGCUCUCUUCCAGGCAGUGAGGGCACUCCUGGGGGCUGCCUUCGGGUCUCAGCUCCAUCAUAGGUACUCAGCUAGCUGUAAACAAGCCAUUCGAUUCCCCGAGUUUUAUCUUCCUUCCCAAACAGAGAUUAAGAACCUUGUGAACUAAGGAGAACAGGGCUGUUCUUGGCUUCUCCAUCGCAUUAAUAGAAACAAGUGCAUCGCCUCCAUUUGAAUGGCAAAGCCCUAAGUGAAUUUCUAGCAUGGUCAAUUCCAUGUGAAAACACCCGGAUGCUCGCUCAGGCUCUCCUCCUCGACGUGGAGAAUUUCCUCCCUGGGAGGUGAAUGGUAAACAUUCUCACUUGUGGCACGAAUGCUUAUACAUGGAGUUCAAAGAGGCAUCCACUGGAAAGAAUGGAAGCCCCAGGAGUGGAGACGGAGCUCAGGACACACGGAAUGUAGAAGAAAACCUCCAAGACUCCCAGCGAGUCCAUCAUUCUUUAUGAAACGCCUGGGAAAUGGACAAAGGAUCCCUCAUUCACAGACAGCGGCCAGGAAAUCUGUGACUCAUCCUGGAUAUUCUUCCAAGUUGUGCUCCAAGGAUCUCACACAAGUCCCUGCUGUAAACAACGCUGGCCUGCUUGAAAGAACAUUCCUUUCCUGCAUGCUGAACCCCAAUUUCAGUUUGAAUUUUUAAUAAACUUAUCUCCUGGUUGCUCUCCUGACUCCUCCCAGGCAGCCACUGGCCUCAUUCUUGAAGGACUUGGGAAGGCUCCCAGGUUAUGUAUGUUCUGGAGGGCAGCAAAUUCCAGAGGACCUCUUGGGAAACCCUCUGGCCUCCCCUUUGAAGCCCCAGUGUGCCCCUCUCUUGAGCAGGCAGCAACACAGAGCCCAGUGUUCCCACUGGAGGGAAGGAGCCCAGCAGACAGAAAGCCUCAGAGGUGAAUGGUCUGGUCUGCUGGAGAGAGACCUCGAACACCGAAGAUUUAUUCUGAAGGCAAGCUGGAGAAAGGAGGAUUGUCUGAAGCAAGGCAAGCCCUUCAGGAUUUCUCGUGGAAGGGAGGAUGAACUCGCAUGAUCUGUCUUAACUGAGAAAAAAGCAGCCCAAGUUUCUUCAGUGUCUAAGAGAAAAACUAUGUAAAUAGUGAAAUAUUUGAUGGUUAUCAAUAUAAACACAGAUACACAGCUGCUGGGUGACAGAAUAAACCAGAAGGGUCUGAAACUCGUAA
Monodelphis domestica (gray short-tailed opossum) is the source of this 1299-nucleotide long non-coding RNA. RefSeq lists it as uncharacterized. NCBI's taxonomy places the organism in Eukaryota, Metazoa, Chordata, Mammalia, Didelphimorphia, Didelphidae. The record is from RefSeq and is a predicted model, not a curated record.